GGAUUAGAUACCCUGGUAGUCCACGCCGUAAACGAUGUCUACUAGCCGUUGGGGAACUUGAUUCUUUAGUGGCGCAGCUAACGCACUAAGUAGACCGCCUGGGGAGUACGGCCGCAAGGUUAAAACUCAAAUGAAUUGACGGGGGCCCGCACAAGCGGUGGAGCAUGUGGUUUAAUUCGAUGCAACGCGAAGAACCUUACCAGGCCUUGACAUCCUGCGAAUUUGGAAGAGAUUCCUUAGUGCCUUCGGGAACGCAGUGACAGGUGCUGCAUGGCUGUCGUCAGCUCGUGUCG
RNAcentral lists this ribosomal RNA (293 nucleotides) under uncultured bacterium. RNAcentral's name for it is "partial 16S ribosomal RNA". It matches the Rfam family "Bacterial small subunit ribosomal RNA", at positions 775 to 1067 of the family's 1533-position model. The record is from RNAcentral.